AGUGAACGCUGGCGGUAGGCCUAACACAUGCAAGUCGAACGGCAGCACAGUAAGAGCUUGCUCUUACGGGUGGCGAGUGGCGGACGGGUGAGGAAUACAUCGGAAUCUACUUUUUCGUGGGGGAUAACGUAGGGAAACUUACGCUAAUACCGCAUACGACCUACGGGUGAAAGCAGGGGAUCUUCGGACCUUGCGCGAUUGAAUGAGCCGAUGUCGGAUUAGCUAGUUGGCGGGGUAAAGGCCCACCAAGGCGACGAUCCGUAUCUGGUCUGAGAGGAUGAUCAGCCACACUGGAAGUGAGACACGGUCCAGACUCCUACGGGAGGCAGCAGUGGGGAAUAUUGGACAAUGGGCGCAAGCCUGAUCCAGCCAUACCGCGUGGGUGAAGAAGGCCUUCGGGUUGUAAAGCCCUUUUGUUGGGAAAGAAAAGCAGCAGGUUAAUACCCCGCUGUUCUGACGGUACCCAAAGAAUAAGCACCGGCUAACUUCGUG
Molecule: ribosomal RNA, 492 nt
Filed under: uncultured bacterium
Lineage: Bacteria
Description: partial 16S ribosomal RNA
Rfam family: Bacterial small subunit ribosomal RNA
Source: RNAcentral